AGAAGGCUCUCAACAAAUCAUGAGGUUCUUGUUUGCAAGACUUCUGCUGCCUUUAUAUCUCUGUGCUGUGUUCAGAGAUAUUGCAUGGGAGGAAUAACAAUGGCUCCAGUGGCAUUUGUGGGUCUCCUUGACGGCUGAGCAGGGAAGCUGGUGCUCCCAGUGGGCUGACCUGUAUUUCUCUGGGUAAAUAUCUGAGAAGUACCAGCCACCUCUCCUCUGGUUAAAUUAGAAGAAACUGGCUAGAGAGAGCUCAGAUACAGGGCUGAAAACAAAGACAUCCAAACAUUGAGCCAUUUAGAAGAGGAAGAAGCCAAAAUCUGUGCCAGAGGUUUGACUGCUGGGAUACUCAUGGCUUCAGUCUGGCCUCCAGAAGCUUUGUUGCUCCAUCCUCAUCUCCUGGACUGGGAGGUAGCUUACUGCUGUGGGGAGACUGACCUCCAAGCUCUCUGUAUCCAACCCAGUCUGCUGUCCCCAUCGUGGACAGAGAAAUAAACCUCAGAGAAUGGAUUGCUUUCCCCUCCCUCCUGGAAAAGGCUUCCAGGCAUAAGAGGAGAUGGUGUCCUUUCGGUCUUGAAUGUCCAAGAAGUCCAGCAUGGGAAUAACUGAACAAGGGAUCCCAGACCUGAAGGGGAUCUACUGUUCCUCCUCCUCCUCCAUUUUGCUGAGACAUCAGCAAUUAUAAGAAAAUGACGACAUCUGAAGGCUGCAUCAGAAGAAAGAGCCAAGUGGCUAAUAACCCUUUCUGCCUAGGAGUGGUGUUUGGUCCCCACUUUUACCUGAUCUCUCUGAAUCACACGGCACAGAGGUGAACCUGGUGAUUUGAGAAUUAGCGGCUGUGAUACCAAGCAUGGCUGACCAGAAAUGGAGAUAAGAGGCUGUCAAUACCUGUUCUUCCCUUCAUGCACAUAGAAAGCCUGUGAUGAAUGUUUUAGAUUCACUGACUGUGGUCCAGGGGCCACCAUUUUGAGGGAAGUUCCAAGGCUAGGGUUUAACCCUCAGUCCAGGUUUUUCUUGCCCAAUAAAUAACCCAGACCAAUAGAAACGUAACACAGCAAUUCAUUAAAAACUUCCCAUGAAAGAAAUGUUCUUAAAAACAAGGAAAAAUCCCCUUUUGGAACUUGCAACACAAAUGUAACUCUGUUAGUGCACAAAAUUCAGAGUAAACCUGAUUAGAAACUGAAGUGAAAGCCAGACGUCUGUUUCCAUUGUCCAUCAGAGAGAAAUGCCAAGGGACAAGGAAACAGCAGAAUGUAAAAAGCAAAUUGGAUUAUAAAAAGCCUUGUAAGGAUAAGCUUUUGUGGGAUCGUCUACAAAUCUGAGUACACAGUGUUUAGCAUGCCAGCAUCCAUUCAGGUUAAUUAGACUGGAGUCCUGUGCCACAAGCUGUGUGAAUAAUCUAAAAUCACAACAAAUGAGUGAGUAGUAUCCACACGUCAUAGGAGAAAAAAUACAAAUGUGAGUGCAAUGGGGCUGGUAAGGUUUGCACCUUCACAGAAAAGAAGGAUGAUAUCUGAAUGCAAUGGUCACUUGAUUUUGCAGGAAAUGUUUCUCACAUGUACAGCACUUUUAGGAGUCCCAGAGACCAACCUUUCAGGCUGUACUGGUCACUUUUUGCCUUUAUUAUUAACAGAUGCAUUAGGAAUUGCAAUGGAGAACUGUUCUGCCUGGGUAAAACAUCUGUGAGUGGCAGGGAGAGCCUGUCUAUGGCCAUGCAGAAAGGAGGGUGUAAUGCAAUGCCUCUCUAAGUGCCAGAGAGAGCUGAGCAGUGGCAGGACUGGAUACCAGGUCUUGAGGGACUCUGCCGGGCUGCCCAGAGAUCUGAGGUGGUGGACUGGGUCUGCCACAGUAGAGGGGGAAGUCACAUAACCCAAGGAUCUUCAGAAGCAAUUGUAUUUUAGUUAGCAAUGAGGAAAGGAAUAAUGUUUAAAGAAGUUACUGCCUUCAUACAGUAAAUAGAGUUUUAAUCAUCUUGGAAGUAAGGUGGACAGAAGGACUGGAUAGCUCAAGGAAAUGGUCUGAACUGAGUCAAGCUCAGCAAUGAUUAAAAGCUGCUACCACUUACAGCAGUUCAGGGGAUAUUUGAGAUGAGCCGAUAGAUUUCACAGGAAAUUCACCACAGGCAUUCACAUCUUUGCAGCACCACCUAAUUGGCUCCCAUGUUGGCAGUCUCAGCAGUGAUGCCUUAGUUUAAAGGGGUUGUGGGGAGUAAAUCCACUGCUCUGGGUGGGGAACAACCUGGGGUGCUCUGGCAAAACAGGGCAUGGAGGCAUAGGUAAGCUUGUCAUGCCACUGGCUUUUUUUUUAUUGCUUUGAGGAGAAAUAAAAGCUCCCAGCAAUUCCAGCCAUCAGCCCAGUACUGCUCAGAGAACUGAGAUCUUUCCAAUAAAGCAAGCCAACAGCAAGGCAAGAAUUUGUAGCCCUGUUCCUCUAAUUGCAAGGCUCUUCCCCAGCCCCAUUAAUUUCCUGUGAAACGGAGAAGUUUAGUCAGCAUUAAAUCUGGGAAUGUUGCCUUCCACUGGGGCUCUCUGUUACACAGCAGACAGGCUUACAUUUUUGCUGUGACAAAUAUUUUAUUGACAUUGAUACAAUAUAUACAUUGCAAAAGAACAUUCAGGAUAAAGUAUUUCUCUGUUUCAGUGGGGAGACAUGUUUCGUAUACAGAUGGCUGGAAUAAAUCUGGCCUCACAAUUAAAAUCUGUUUAGAGUUUGUAGUGAAGUGACUGAUGGAUUUGGCUCAGUGCUCCAUCAAUCCCCCCUCCCCAUGUCUCUCGGUAGAACAACAUUGAUGGCAGGUCAUAAAUAGCCAUUUGUACAAAGUGCAGGAACUCUUUAAGUAUCAUUUUAUAGCUGGUAUAUAUAUUCCAAGUGGCUGGCAAAAUGCAAAAUGGUUGGGGUCUUUAAGUAGCAAAGGCAACAGACCGUGGGUGGACAGCAAUACCUUUCUAUUUGUAUACCAAGGGUGCCUAUUUGAACCUUAUAUUUGUGCCCACUGUGGGAAUGAGGAUGUUGUUAAUAUUCUGGUAAAUUCUUUAUUUGCUGCAUACACAAAAUUCAGGUCCUUUUCUAAAGAGAGAGAGGUACUAAACAGGGUUUUCCUGUCCACAUUGAGGCCUGUCUAAGUAUACGAUUGUUAAAUCUCCCCAACACUUCAGAUUAAUGCAGAUUUUCAUUUUGCUUUUUGUCCUAUAUUCUUGCAUAAUUUUAGUGGACACCACAAACAGCCACUUUUUUUCUUCUCCACAAGUUUUUUGUCUCAAGGCUGGAGGAAAAUCAGGCCCUGUUGGAAGGUUCUACCAAUUGUGAAUUAUUUCAGUGGUGCUUAACACUGUGAUGGAAGGGUCCAGUUGAUCAUCAAACAAUGUGAAAACUAAAAGCUGUAUAAAAAUGUAAAAUACUAAGGUAAAAGCUCUCUGCAGUAAUGGUAGCCACAUGUCAUGGAUGGGGGGUGGUAGCAGAGGCAUGGAGCAGAACCGUGAUGCAGCCUCUCGUCUCACCAAGCACAGGAGCAUCUUGAGCAGCCCUGAGCAGGGAGAGUUGGCCUGGGCACCUCCCUUGCUGCAGCAGGACUGCUGUGUGUUCUCACAGGUGCCCCUCUAAUUAUCCUGUUCCUAAAGGCAAUCUUAGGCAGGAAGGCAUCUUGGCAGUGCCCCCGUAGCAUGGCAACUUCAAACCCAGGACCACGGGCUACUGCUGUACUAAAGAUGGGUGCUAGCAGUGCGUGUGUCUCCCCUGGUGGGACACGAGCCAGGUUCCUGAGCUGAACAUCUUCUGUCCUGCUGUACAGAGACCAUGGAGAGUGCCCUCAGCUGCCAGAGAGAAGCCUGCAACAGAGGAGGUCGAGUACUCUGGAAACCUCUCCUUCCAGAGUUCGCUGUGCAGUGGCAAUGUUCACAUGGAUAGGAAAUGUCCUUGCACUCACCCGAGAUGUGAAGUCAAGAGUAAACUUGUGGUGAUCAGAGCCUGAACAGAAGGGAAGGAGCUUUUCAAAAGUACCUAUGAAGGAAG
Molecule: long non-coding RNA, 4005 nt
Organism: Passer domesticus (house sparrow)
Lineage: Eukaryota; Metazoa; Chordata; Aves; Passeriformes; Passeridae
Exons: 6
Source: RefSeq, a predicted model, not a curated record